This 469-nucleotide ribosomal RNA is filed under the name Bradyrhizobium sp. crc15. RNAcentral's name for it is "bacterial LSU rRNA". It matches the Rfam family "Bacterial large subunit ribosomal RNA", at positions 61 to 491 of the family's 2925-position model. The record is from RNAcentral. Lineage: Bacteria; Pseudomonadati; Pseudomonadota; Alphaproteobacteria; Hyphomicrobiales; Nitrobacteraceae.
CUACGCUGCGAUAAGCCGUGGGGAGCUGCGAAGAAGCUUUGAUCCGCGGAUUUCCGAAUGGGGAAACCCACCUUCGAUAGCCGGAACUCCAAGACCUUGUGUCUUGGUGUUCGACCAGAAAUGAUCGGGACCAUAACCCUAGAGGUUUUGGAUUUCCGGUUAUCAAGAGAAGGUAUGAGACUUCUGAAUACAUAGGAGGUUUCAAGCAAACCCAGGGAACUGAAACAUCUAAGUACCUGGAGGAAAGGACAUCAACAGAGACUCCGUUAGUAGUGGCGAGCGAACGCGGACCAGGCCAGUGAUACAUCAGAGACAAUCGGAACCAGUCAGGAAAGCUGGGCCUCAGAGGGUGAUAGCCCCGUACGAGUAAUGCGAUGAUGUAUCCACGAGUAAGGCGGGACACGUGCAAUCCUGUCUGAACACGGGGGGACCACCCUCCAAGCCUAAGUACUCCUCAGCGACCGAUAGC